Long non-coding RNA from Lactuca sativa (garden lettuce), 860 nucleotides. RefSeq lists it as uncharacterized. The record is from RefSeq and is a predicted model, not a curated record. NCBI's taxonomy places the organism in Eukaryota, Viridiplantae, Streptophyta, Magnoliopsida, Asterales, Asteraceae.
ACUACCUUCCUGAUCUGUUUGCUUUCUCCACCACCUCACACACUCAACUACUUCCUUCAGUUUAAUUACUUUUACACCCCCCUCGGUCCCCCCUCUCUACACACGAAGGAUUUUGUCUCGCUUUUUCUUCUCGAACUCAUGAACUUGCUUUGGACGAACCCUCAAAAUCGUCAGUUGCGUAUGUAUUUCUAGGGAAAUAUCAUAAAGGUGCUUCCAUGGCGGAGGGUGGUUCGAGUUAUUAGAUAUAUGCAACACCUAUGACUGUCUUCACACAUCUCUUAGUGAUAUUGAUUGCAACCCUUGGCCGGUUUCGCUCAUACAAUUCCAUGAAGGAUUUGCUUUUAAAUCUCAUGUCAAAGCCAAGAUAUUUAAUUUAGGCCUUUAUUAAUCACCACGUAUAUAUGAAUCUUGACUAAAUCACUACCUUUUGCAGUUACAUCCUCUUCGGAUGACACUUGCAGUUAUUGAGAUUCUAAAUUUUCUUAAGAACUUGAUCAAAGAAACGUAUUUGUCUGUAUUUAACAAUAUCAAUUUCAAAAUUUAGUAGCUGUUGAUCGAUGAAUAGGGAUACCAUGUUUUGGAGGAGCACAGUCCGAGUUUGCGUCUUCUGCAGCUGAACGGUUUCUCCAAAUCAAUCUCAAACAAGGAUUCAAACAUCAGAGAUUAAAAGUCGUGGUCUCUUGGAGCAAAACCUGGAGUAGUGUUGAGCCCUGCAACACCAUUAAUACCAUUAAUAACCAUAGAGUAUAUGGUACAUUAUAUACAAUCUAGUACAUUUUAAGUAUAUUCUAAUGGAAUUAUUGAACGACAUUGUAUUUGUUGUUGUUGUUGUUGUUGAAUAGUGGUGGAUUUGGUGUUAA